RNAcentral lists this non-coding RNA (45 nucleotides) under Trichobilharzia regenti. Lineage: Eukaryota; Metazoa; Platyhelminthes; Trematoda; Strigeidida; Schistosomatidae. The record is from RNAcentral.
AUCCAGCUGGCGAGUCCCUAAUAGGACGAAAUGCGCAUCCUGGAU